This 400-nucleotide ribosomal RNA is filed under the name uncultured bacterium. Its description in RNAcentral is "bacterial SSU rRNA". It matches the Rfam family "Bacterial small subunit ribosomal RNA", at positions 355 to 749 of the family's 1533-position model. The record is from RNAcentral.
UCGAGAAUUUUUCUCAAUGGGCGCAAGCCUGAAGGAGCGACGCCGCGUGGAGGAUGAAGGCCUUCGGGUUGUAAACUCCUGUCAUUUGGGAACAAACCUUUCAUUUAACUGGUGAAAGACUGAUAGUACCAGAAGAGGAAGAGACGGCUAACUCUGUGCCAGCAGCCGCGGUAAUACAGAGGUCUCAACCGUUGUUCGGAUUCAUUGGGCGUAAAGGGUGCGUAGGCGGUCGCGCAAGUCGGAUGUGAAAUCUCGGGGCUCAACCCCGAAACUGCAUUCGAUACUGCGUGGCUAGAGUACUGGAGAGGAGACUGGAAUUUACGGUGUAGCAGUGAAAUGCGUAGAUAUCGUAAGGAAGACCAGUGGCGAAGGCGAGUCUCUGGACAGUUACUGACGCUGA